UGGUGCCGCGCGCCAAGCGGGCGCUUGGCUACCUGGGAGCGUGUGUGUUAGGGAUGUUGAGGGGGACCAAGCGAGCUCCUGGAGCUGAAGAAGAGGAGGGGAGUAGGGGCAGUUAGAAGGGUGGCCGAAGGGAAAUGAUGAGAAUGGAGGGGGAGAUAAAACUGAACACUACCAUUUUGGCUCUGUUCAACUUUCGUGGAAGCUGUGGUGGCAAACAUAAGAAAAUCAGGUUCAUCGGUGUUUGCAUGUAGCGAGGGCGGGGCGGAGCAAAAACGUAGAAAAGGCCUAUCAAGAGGCCAUCUUUCGUGCGGUUCCUCGUUAGUAUAGUGGUAAGCCUGAUUGCAAGCUUCAUUGUACCUGUUUCUUUCUGACUCAGAUUCCAGCUCAGCUUACAUUUUUCCCACUAAGUAGGCAGUGAUAUUUCAUCACAGCAGCCCCCAGCUCAGUACAAACAACAUAGUAGGUCCUCAAAAGAUUCAAAAGGAAUAAAAGGAGUGGAGAAAGGAAGGAACAAAAGAAGGAACGAUGGCAGAAUGAAAAGACGCACCAUGGAAGCUGAGGGUGCUGCUUAUCUAAGCGGGCGUGGCUUCCCAGAAC
This is a long non-coding RNA of Gorilla gorilla gorilla (western lowland gorilla), 597 nucleotides long. RefSeq lists it as uncharacterized. The transcript has 3 exons. The record is from RefSeq and is a predicted model, not a curated record. NCBI's taxonomy places the organism in Eukaryota, Metazoa, Chordata, Mammalia, Primates, Hominidae.